This is an RNA transcript of Morus notabilis, 2500 nucleotides long. It is a transcript of the gene named peptidyl-prolyl cis-trans isomerase CYP57, with no coding region annotated. Lineage: Eukaryota; Viridiplantae; Streptophyta; Magnoliopsida; Rosales; Moraceae. The transcript has 11 exons. The record is from RefSeq and is a predicted model, not a curated record.
AAUCUCAGCAGUCAGCAGAAAGUGAACUUUUGGCGCUACCGAAAUUCGCAGUGAUGUCGGCGAUAUACGUGGUGGAGCCUCCGACGAAGGGCAAGGUUGUUCUGACGACGACGCACGGCCCUCUCGACAUCGAGCUCUGGCCGAAGGAGGCUCCCAAGGCCGUCAGAAACUUCGUCCAGCUCUGCCUCGAGGGCUACUACGACCGUACCAUCUUCCACCGCAUCAUCAAGGGCUUCCUCAUCCAGAGCGGCGACCCCACCGGCACCGGCACGGGUGGUGAGAGUAUUUAUGGCGGUGUUUUUGCCGAUGAGUUUCAUUCGCGUCUGAGAUUCAAGCAUAGAGGUUUGGUCGCUUGUGCGAAUGCGGGUUCGCCCAAUUCCAAUGGGAGCCAGUUUUUCAUUUCCUUGGAUAGAUGUGAUUGGCUCGACAAAAAACAUACUAUUUUCGGGAAGGUUACUGGAGAUUCGAUAUAUAAUCUUACAAGGUUAGGCGAUCUUGAAACCGAUAAGGAUGAUCGUCCCCUCGACCCACCGCCAAGGAUAUUAUCAGUUGAGAUUUUGUGGAAUCCGUUUGAUGAUAUAGUACCAAGACAACCCGCAAGACAGUUGGUCCCUUCAGCAGAUGAUACCGUCAAUAAAGAUACGGAGAAAAAAGCUGUUAAAAAGUUGAACUUGCUUUCUUUUGGAGAAGAAGCGGAAGAAGAGGAGAAAGAACUGGCGGCAGUAAAGAAAAAAAUCAAGAGCAGUCAUGACGUGUUGGACGAUCCCCGUCUUCUAAAGGACGCAGUUACAAACAGCGAAUUGAAUUCUGAAACCAAAAUAAGGGAGGUGCAGUUAUCUGUUAGAGAAGCUCUUAGCUCGAAGAAAGAAGAGUCUCACAAAGGUGUAGAAGCUGACAUAUACAGUGACAAUGAUGAUGAAGAUGAGGCAGACUUUGAUGCGCGAAUGCGUCAGCAAAUACUUAGAAAAAGGAACGAAUUAGGAGAUCUACCACCCAAGCCGAAAUUGCGCAAAGGUGGUUCUGACUCAAAGAAGCGUGAAGUAUCUCCAUCAAGGUCGGAUGCUAAACGGGACAGUGAUGAUCAACCUAAGAGAGGAAAGUUGUCAAUGAAUAAAAAAGGGCUAGGAUCAGAAGCGAGAGCAGAACGCAUGGCCAAUGCCAAUGUAGAUUUGGAGCUGUUGAAUGAAGCCGAAAGAGGAAGACAGCUGCAAAAACAGAAGAAGCGUAGACUUCAAUGGCGUGAAGAUGAGAUUCUAGCAAAGCUUGAGAAGUUCAAGAAGGAAUUAUUUGAAAAACCAGCUGCUCCAAGUAGUGAAUCUGGAAGUGGAGGCAGUAAGGAGGAUUUGUCUGACUGGAAGAAUGUUCGUUUGAAGUUUGUUCCUGAACCUGGCAAGGAUCGCAUGUCUCGCAGUGAUGACCCCAAUGACUAUGUCCUUGUUGAUCCUCUUUUAGAGAAAGGAAAGGAGAAGUUUAAUCGGAUGCAAGCCAAGCAAAAGAGACGUGAACGGGAAUGGGCUGGAAGAUCUCUUACUUGAUGUCAUCUUCUCAAACUCUACGGGCUUGUGAAUAUUUAUGACUGAAUGGAAUGAUGUGCUGGAGCUUGAUUGCAUGCGAAUUUGUCUUGUCUGCUAAAAUGGUUUGCAGAUCAUCAUAAGCCAGAUUCCUUCAAAGCAUUGGAGUUUGAGGUGCAUAUUUGGCAUCAUUUCUUCUCAAAGUGGACUAAAUUUAUCGUUUCAAACAGUGCCAAAAGGCGUGAUUAUGGCUGCUUAUCUUUUGGUACUGCUCUCUCUAAAAUGACUUGACCCUUUUACAUUUUCAAAAUUGUACAUAAUUAUGAUUUAUGUUUUCUUAUUAAGGCAUUAUUAGGAAAUCUGACCCUUUUCUGAUCUUAUGUUCGCGGAUCUAGGAAACGGACUUUUGUUGUUCAUACAGAUGAUUAACUGCAGCCGUGCCUCUGAAAGUCUGAUAUAGAGUUGGAAAGCUUGCGAAGACCAAGGCCUACCUUAUAGGUCAGUUUGCCUCUUUGGAAAAAAAAAAAAAAAAAAAAAAAAAAAAAAAAAAAAAAACAAGUCCAUUUCUUGAUUAUUAAUUAAAUUUGUUUAAUUUUACUGCAACCGAGUCCGACCAAGAACAUUCUCUAUCUCUUGGUUUUUUCUACCAGGUCUCCCACCUUUACGCUUUUUUGUUUCCAUUGGGUACCCGUUAACCUGCUUUGCAUUCGGUCAAAAGUAGCGUAUAAUGUUGAAAUUCUUAAAUCGAUGUGGGGUCCGCUAUACACGUAUGUCUACCGUGCACCUAAAGGAGAAGUAUUGUAUAAUUUGUAUUAAUAGAUAAGCUUUAAAUUCCUUAACUUUCUGGUAAACCAAAUGGCGAUAGUAGCAUAUGAUGUGACGAGGGCGUUAAGUACAAAUUUAAUGCUACAUCACGGAAGUUUUUGACAAAAUAAGAAAGAUAUGUAGAAAGGGUAAUAAGACAAAUACACAUUGUUUUCGUUUUUAUC